Molecule: non-coding RNA, 85 nt
Organism: Vararia minispora EC-137
Lineage: Eukaryota; Fungi; Basidiomycota; Agaricomycetes; Russulales; Lachnocladiaceae
Source: the annotation of a GenBank genome assembly
UCCCUGGUAGUAUAUCGGCUAGUACACCCGCCUGUCAUUCACUUACGGACCGCGGGAGAGCGGGGUUCGACUCCCCGCCAGGGAG